AAUGUUACUCAUUAAUGCCAACAAUGGAUGCCUAGGAGGCUUUGGCCGAGGAAGGACGCAUACGGCGGCGAUACUCGUCGGGUAGGUGCCAUAAACCUAUGAUCCGGCGGUUUCCGAAUGGGGAAACCCGGUCUCGAUAAUAUCGGGAUCGACCAAACAUGAAGUUAGUUCAGUAAUGGACUAUAUUAACGUUUGGUUGGUAACGGCGUGAACUGAAACAUCUAAGUAACGCCAGGAAAAGAAAUCAAUAGAGAUUCCCUAAGUAGCGGCGAGCGAAAAGGGAAAAGUCUAAACCCCGCCGAAAGGCGGGGGGUUGCAGGACUGCAUAGCAGGAUCAGUUGAAGGUAGAGGAAAGCGCCGGAAUUGCGCUACCAAAGAGGGUGAUAGUCCCGUAUUCAAAACCCAAGACUGCCUAGCAGUAUCCUAAGUACCAUGGGGUACGAUAAAACCCUGUGGGAAACUGGGACGUCCACGUUCCAAGACUAAAUACCAAAGUCUACCGAUAGUGAACUAGUACCGCGAGGGAAAGGUGAAAAGCACCCCGGAAGGGGAAUGAAAUAGACCUGAAAUUGUUGGCUAACAAGCAGACAAAGCUUGUCCUUUGGACAAGGAAAUUCUAAGCAUUAAUUUCUAAAUUCUAAAUAAUAUCAAAAUUACAAUAAUCAAAUUCCAAACAAUUAAUUUUAAGAUUUGAAAAUUGAAAUUUAUUUAGGAUUUAUGAUUUUGAAUUUAGGAUUUUCUCGUCCUUUGGACGAGUAAUGUCGUGCCUAUUGAAGAAUGAACCGGUGAGUUUCCUCACCUUUCAUUAGUUUAAGCAAGUCAAACUUGCGAAAGCGUAGUGAAAGCGAUCCCUAACUGGGAUAUUUAGAAGGGUGAGGAAGACCCGAAACCGGGUGAGCUAACCUUGGGCAGGGUGAACCUCGACGAAAGUCGGGGGGAGGCCCGAACCCGUAUCUGUAGCAAUAGGUUGGGAUGACCUGAGGUUAGGGGCAAUAUGCCAAACGAACCCGGAGAUAGCUGGUUCUCCCCGAAAUAUAUUUAGGUAUAGCGGCCGCCUCCACUUCCUAGGGGUAGAGCACUGAAUGGUUCACGGCGACGCAAGUUGUCGUAACCAAUCAAACUCCGAAUACUAGGAUGUUACGGCGAGCUAGUCAGACUUGUCGGGCUAAGCUGAUGAGUCGAAAGGGAAACAGCCCAGACUCCCAUCUAAGGCCUCUAAAUAAAAGCUAAGUUUCGAAGGAAGUCAAGUUCCAUAGACAACCAGGAGGUUGGCUUAGAAGCAGCCAUCCUUUAAAGAUAGCGUAACAGCUCACUGGAAGAUUGCCUGCCUCACGGCAGGUAGGUACUUGGCGCCGAAAAUUUAUCGAGGAUAAGCUUUUUGCCGAAGAUGGAGCCCUGAAGUAUGCGCAAGCUUAACUUCAGGGGGUAGGGGAGCGUCCCCACUUUUGUGAAGCCGCACUGUAAGGUGCGGUGGAAAAGUGGGGAGUGAGAAUGCCGGUAUGAGUAGCGAGAUGCCGAUGAGAAGUCGGCACGCCGAAAGCCCAAGGUUUCCUCCGCAAUGUAAGUCAGCGGAGGGUUAGUCGGUCCUAAGGGUGUCCCUUGCUAAAGAGGGGUAGCCCGAUGGACAAGUCGUUGAAAUUCGACUACAUGGGAAAGUGCGUUAUCACUCAAGGAUUGACCAGAGUGGAAGAGAAAUGCCUCGGGAACGGGGUCUAAGCCAUAAAGCAGUUUUGACUGGUAAAUCCGUCUGAACGUUUUAACUGAAUGGCGAUGGCAUAUGUUCUGAUUUUUUCAGGGCUAAGAUUUCAGCUUUCAGUCUGCGAGAAAAGAUUCGUGAGGAGUGCUUUUCUGUACCGUACCGCAAACCGACACAGGUGGGUUGGUCGAGAAGACUAAGGCGAUCGGGAGAAGGAUGAUCAAGGAACUCGGCAAAAAAGCUGGGCGUAACCUUUGGGAGAUGCCCUUCCCGCCUUUGGCGGGAUACAACAAAAGAUUGCUUAGCGACUGUUUAUCUAAAACACAGGUCCCUGCAAAACCGAAAGGUAAAGUAUAGGGGCUGACGCCUGCCCAGUGCNNNNNNNNGCAAAACCGAAAGGUAAAGUAUAGGGGCUGACGCCUGCCCAGUGCUGGUAAGUCAACCGCAGUGAGUGCGUAACCUUCGAGGUUACAAGCUUGUUGCGUAAGCUCCAGUAAACGGCAGCAGUAACUAUAACUGUUCUAUGGUAGGUUCAAUUGAAUCGCUGCCAUAGUGAGGUGAAAAACCUCCGUGUCCGAGUUUAAAAAUAACACGAAAACUUGACUAUAUGCUGGAAACUCCUGUAUUCUGGAUCUACUAUGGAUAAGUUUGUACAUAGUGAAAAUGAUACCAGUAGGGACAAUCAGCAGGAAAGACUAAACCCGUGGUGGAUUGUAGGAUUUGUUGAUGGUGAAGGAUGCUUUUCCGUAAGCAGGUUUAAAAAUAAAACUUGCAAAAGCGGUUAUCAGAUUCUUUUCGAGUUUGUUAUAACGCAGGGAGAAAGAAGCAAGGAAUCACUAGAAUCAAUAAAAGAUUAUUUUGGUUGCGGAAAUAUUUACAUUAACCGUCGCUAUGAUAAUCACAAUUACAAUCUUUUAAGAUAUUGCGUAAGAAGACAGAAUGAUUUAAAAAAGAUAGUCGUUCCGUUUUUUAGAAAGCACAGACUUAAAACCACAAAGCAGCAGCAAUUUGAAAGUUUCUGCAAAAAGUUAGGGGUUUAGAAUCCCCAGAGACUAUACGUCAAGUCCCCUCCUUUUUAAAAAAGAAGGGGGAAGAUAUAGUCCAAGCUUCAUUUAUUUGAAGUAUUAGAGCGAAGUUCCUUGUCGGGCAAGUUCCGACCCGCACGAAAGGCAGAACGACUGAGCAACUGUCUUGAUCAUCUACCCGGCGAAAUUGAGAUGGCCGUGAAGACGCGGCCUAGUUGUCCUUGGACAAAAAGACCCCGGGAGCUUUACUGUAGCUUGGCAUUUGAAAACUUGUUUCAACUGUUUAGAAUAGGAGGGAGCUUGUGCUUUGCACAAGAUUGAUGAUUGACCAUUGAUGAUUUAUGAUUUGAAUUUCUAAAUUGUCAAUAGUAAAUAAUAAAUUGUCAAUCUCGCGCAGAGCGCGAGCAUCGGUGAAAUACCUCUCUUUGAAAUUAGUAAUCAUUACCUUAUUGCCGCAAAAAGAUCCGGCUAAGGGACAGUGUCUGGCGGGCAGUUUAACUGGGGAGGUUGACUCCUAAAUUGCAACGGAGUUGCACAAAGGUUGGCUAAUCGCCGAUGGAAAUGGCGAUGAUAGUGUAAAGGCACAAGCCAGCUUGACUGCGAGACCUACAAGUCGAGCAGGUGCGAAAGCAGGUCUUAGUGAUCCUCCGAGGCUUAGUGGUAAGCACGGAGCUUAACGGAUAAAAGCUACCCCGGGGAUAACAGGCUGAUCGCAUCCAAGCGUCCACAGCGACGAUGCGGUUUGGCACCUCGAUGUCGGCUCAUCCUAUCCUGGGGCUGUAGAAGGUCCCAAGGGUCGGGCUGUUCGCCCGUUAAAAGGGUACGCGAGCUGGGUUAAGAACGUCGUAAGACAGUUCGGACUCUAUCCAGGACAACC
Non-coding RNA from Candidatus Roizmanbacteria bacterium, 3598 nucleotides. The record is from Rfam. Lineage: Bacteria; Candidatus Roizmaniibacteriota.